CUGUGUGAGCUCUGGAGCUGUCCUCCCACACAUGGCAGUGAUCAUCAGCCUCAUCUUCAGGCUGGAGCUCAGAUAUGAACAAAUGUGCUGUAUUAGUUGAUGCCUCUUUUGAUCUAGAGAAGCAACUAGAAAACCCUGAUCCCAACUGCUUGUUUGAGCCUGAGUAAUACAACAGGAAAACUGGAAAGCUCCCUGACUUCUGAUGAUACCAGAAUAUACUUUCUCCUGCAAUGUUGUUGCCACUUUUCAGAGUGCAGGGAGAAGGGGAUGCAAUCAUGACUCAUCCAAGAACUCUUUCUCAGUGCAUGGUCCUGUGAUGCAACAGAAGACACAAGCUGGGCCUGGUGCUUGUCUCCAAAGUUGAUUGAGUGAUGGACAUGCUCAGACAAGACUCUUGAACAUACCUGAAUCUCAUCUUCACUGGCCUGGAUCCCUGGGUGAGCCCCAGGUCUGAGUAACCCCUACAGAGACUUUGGAGCUGUCACCCUGGUGUAGCCUUCACUGACAGGAGCUUUGCUCUGAGGGACACAUGGGGAAUCAUGAUGUUACUGUCAGAAAACAUGGUUCUAAAUAUCCAGGCCCACCUGAUCCCACAUCAAACAGAGAAACAAGUCUCUUUUCUUUGGUGAGAAGGUGAGUUUAUUUAAGAUGCAUCAACAAGGAACUAGAGGGGAAAAAAAAGCUUUCCAAG
Choloepus didactylus (southern two-toed sloth) is the source of this 691-nucleotide long non-coding RNA. RefSeq lists it as uncharacterized. The record is from RefSeq and is a predicted model, not a curated record. The transcript has 3 exons. Lineage: Eukaryota; Metazoa; Chordata; Mammalia; Pilosa; Megalonychidae.